This 582-nucleotide ribosomal RNA is filed under the name Pseudomonas aeruginosa. RNAcentral's name for it is "bacterial SSU rRNA". It matches the Rfam family "Bacterial small subunit ribosomal RNA", at positions 52 to 604 of the family's 1533-position model. The record is from RNAcentral. Lineage: Bacteria; Pseudomonadati; Pseudomonadota; Gammaproteobacteria; Pseudomonadales; Pseudomonadaceae.
CACUGCUAGUCGUACACGGUAGCCGUAGAGUUUGAUCCUGGCUCAUGAUGGGUCCUUGCUCCUGGCUUCACGGCGGACGGGUGAGUAAUGCCUAGGAAUCUGCCUGGUAGUGGGGGAUAACGUCCGGAAACGGGCGCUAAUACCGCAUACGUCCUGAGGGAGAAAGUGGGGGAUCUUCGGACCUCACGCUAUCAGAUGAGCCUAGGUCGGAUUAGCUAGUUGGUGGGGUAAAGGCCUACCAAGGCGACGAUCCGUAACUGGUCUGAGAGGAUGAUCAGUCACACUGGAACUGAGACACGGUCCAGACUCCUACGGGAGGCAGCAGUGGGGAAUAUUGGACAAUGGGCGAAAGCCUGAUCCAGCCAUGCCGCGUGUGUGAAGAAGGUCUUCGGAUUGUAAAGCACUUUAAGUUGGGAGGAAGGGCAGUAAGUUAAUACCUUGCUGUUUUGACGUUACCAACAGAAUAAGCACCGGCUAACUUCGUGCCAGCAGCCGCGGUAAUACGAAGGGUGCAAGCGUUAAUCGGAAUUACUGGGCGUAAAGCGCGCGUAGGUGGUUCAGCAAGUUGGAUGUGAAAUCCCC